Molecule: microRNA precursor, 149 nt
Filed under: Aedes aegypti (yellow fever mosquito)
Lineage: Eukaryota; Metazoa; Arthropoda; Insecta; Diptera; Culicidae
Description: microRNA aae-mir-31 precursor
Gene: aae-mir-31
Rfam family: mir-31 microRNA precursor family (bases 40-118)
Source: miRBase by way of RNAcentral
CGAGAUUUUGGGAGAUUGAAGGUCGUGUUUGCAGAGUGAAAUUGGCAACUUGGCAAGAUGUUGGCAUAGCUGAAAGUUUUGAGUUUAGCUAUUCAACUUCUUGUCUAUUUUUCCAAUUUAUUGACAACGAAGAGGCGUUUUUCCGUGAU